GCAUUAAUGGGGUAGUGGUAACCUGGGUUGUUGCCAUGUUGGAGAGCCUGAGUUCUCAACCCGCCGGGGGUUCGAUUCGUCCUUAAUGCA
Mycena galopus ATCC 62051 is the source of this 90-nucleotide non-coding RNA. NCBI's taxonomy places the organism in Eukaryota, Fungi, Basidiomycota, Agaricomycetes, Agaricales, Mycenaceae. The record is from the annotation of a GenBank genome assembly.